Molecule: non-coding RNA, 102 nt
Filed under: Bacillus sp. (in: firmicutes)
Lineage: Bacteria; Bacillati; Bacillota; Bacilli; Caryophanales; Bacillaceae
Description: Bacillus sp. Guanine sequence
Rfam family: Purine riboswitch aptamer
About the family: Riboswitches are metabolite binding domains within certain messenger RNAs that serve as precision sensors for their corresponding targets. Allosteric rearrangement of mRNA structure is mediated by ligand binding, and this results in modulation of gene expression. A class of riboswitches that selectively recognises guanine and becomes saturated at concentrations as low as 5 nM.
Source: RNAcentral
AAAUACUCAAAUUGAACUACUCGUAUAAUCUUGGAGAUAUGGUCCAUAAGUUUCUACCAAACUACCGUAAAGAGUUUGACUACGAGAAUCCCCCUUCUUAAU